This 832-nucleotide ribosomal RNA is filed under the name uncultured organism. RNAcentral's name for it is "bacterial SSU rRNA". It matches the Rfam family "Bacterial small subunit ribosomal RNA", at positions 504 to 1335 of the family's 1533-position model. The record is from RNAcentral.
CGUGCCAGCAGCCGCGGUAAUACGUAGGGACCUAGCGUUGUUCGGAAUUAUUGGGCGUAAAGGGUACGUAGGCGGCUUAGUAAGUCGGAUGUGAAACUCUCGGGCUCAACCUGAGAACUGCGUCCGAUACUGCUUGGCUAGAGUUACGGAGAGGAAGGCGGAAUUCCUGGUGUAGGGGUGAAAUCUAUAGAUAUCAGGAAGAACACCUAUUGCGAAGGCAGCCUUCUGGACGUCAACUGACGCUGAUGUACGAAAGUUAGGGUAGCAAACAGGAUUAGAGACCCUGGUAGUCCUAACCGUAAACGUUGUAUACUAGGUGGUGGGAGUAUUGAUCCUUUCACUGCCGGAGCAAACGCAUUAAGUAUACCGCCUGGGGAGUAUGCCGGCAACGGUGAAACUCAAAGGAAUUGACGGGGGCCCGCACAAGCAGUGGAGCAUGUUGUUUAAUUCGAUGAUACGCGAGAAACCUUACCAGGUCUUGACAUAUACUUGAAUGGUGUAGAAAUACAUCAGCUUUUCGGAGCAGGUAUACAGGUGCUGCAUGGUUGUCGUCAGCUCGUGCCGUGAGGUGUUGGGUUAAGUCCCGCAACGAGCGCAACCCUUAUUCUUUGUUGCUAACGUGUAAUGGCGAGCACUCUAAGGAGACUGCCGGUGACAAACCGGAGGAAGGUGGGGAUGACGUCAAAUCAUCACGGCCCUUAUGACCUGGGCUACAAACGUGCUACAAUGGGCAGUACAAAGAGUUGCGAUACCGCGAGGUGGAGCUAAUCUCAAAAAGCUGUCCUCAGUUCGGAUUGGAGUCUGAAACCCGACUCCAUGAAGCUGGAAUUGC